Molecule: long non-coding RNA, 1645 nt
Organism: Homo sapiens (human)
Lineage: Eukaryota; Metazoa; Chordata; Mammalia; Primates; Hominidae
Gene: KCNMA1-AS3
Product: KCNMA1 antisense RNA 3
Source: Ensembl
AAAGGCUAGAGGGUGGUUUGGGGGUGGAGGCAGAGGUCCAGUGAGCUGGGCUCCACCCUUUCUCUCCCUGCAGUCCCAACUCCAUUUUUAUCUGUGCUAUAUGUUGGAGUCUAGCCAAGAUGUCAUUUGAACAAAGAUUCUGAAAGAUCAAAGAAAAAAGUUUGAAAACCACCAGGACAAUGCUUUCAGGGGACUUUAUCCAAAAGACUGCAACAAUGUAAAGAGAUACGAUUGCUUUUAUUACUGUGAUAUGUUUAAAGUAUUAUAAAUUUUUUAAGAGCUUUGUAAGUGACAGAAGUGAAGACAUGCUCAUUUUAAUGUUACCAGUCAACUCUGAGAAGACUAAAGGUCAAGGGACAAUGAAAAUGUGACCCUUACCAACGACAGAAACUCCCAGGAAGCCACAAUUAACUCAAGACCACCAGGAUAUUUGGGGAAGUUUAUCCUUCUGGAAACCAGAAUUUCUGAUUUGUGGAAAAUUCUAUAGAUAUUCUCUGCCAGACUCCAGCCUAUUUGUGUGAGACAUCUGGGGAGGCUCCCCUUUUUUUCACCAUUUGAGGACUGAAAGUAAAUUUAGCUUCCUCAGCAGAAAGAAAAGAAGCUGUUUUGGAGGUUGGGAAGAGCUUUAGAAAAUGCGGCAUCACGUCUGUUGCCCCAUUUGAAGAAAGCAGCUCUGGAAAAGGCCUAGGACAUUAGUUGCUACAAAGUUCUAGAUCAUUCUGUGUGGUAAAGAAGUGCCUUUCACCUCCCACUGUGAUUCUGAGGCCUCCCCAGCCAUGUGGAACUGUAAGUCUGUGUUGGUAAAUUAGACACCGUGUGGCCUUUCAACAUCCAGGAGCAAGAUGGCAGGAGAAUCAUGCCAACAACUGAGGAGUGAUAUCCACCCAGGUUUGCUCAGUAAGACUAUGAGACCUAUCUUCCUGGCUGUGGUGAUUGGUUCAGAAGCAACAUGCCAACCAACCUGAUCCAAUGAGAGUGAGUUCUAGGACUUUUGCUGGAACUACUGUAUGUCUAUAUAUAAAAGAGAAUCUAUCUUUCUAUUGAAAGCCAAAGGUAAGAAGCCAAUAUGAUAUGCAUUUGAUUCUGUUACGGAAAUCCACAUAAAAGAAGGCUGCCCAAGUAUAAAACCAACACAGAAGAAAGCAGAGGUAAGAGAUGGAAAAAGAAAUGAGUGAACCAGUGACAGCAAGAGACUGAAGAACAUCAUUUGAUUGCCUGGAAUCAGCUAAGCCUGAAGAGAAGCCUAACCCUAAGCUUUUCAGUUACCCAAGCCAUCAAAUUCCCAUCCCCAUUUUUUUGGUUCUUAAGCAGCUUGAACCAUAGUUGUCUCACUUGCAUGCAAGAGAUCCCUGAAGAUACAUGCAGUUCCUCAGGUGAAGAUUGCCAUCAGUUAACAGAUCCUGGCACCCAUGGACCCUGGGACAGUCAUUCUGGUAGCAUCCUCUGGUAGAGAAUAACAUAGUCAAAUCUGACAGUCAGAGAGUAUCUGCCAGCCUCUGCUUAGAUAUAGCCCACUGAAAGGGAGAGAUGAUUAAUUUAGCCUUGAUUUCAAAACCUUGUCUUGUAUAUUCCAUUCAGCACUUUUUAUCUUCCUGUAUUCCCCUGGUUCCUCUCUAGCUGAAUAAAGAACAAUUUUUAAAGCAAA